CCAUACGGAUUUUCCUAUUUGCAAACUAAUCGUAAUCGGCCUUAGUCCCCAAGGAAGGCCCAUACCGAUUCAACCUUCACGAGAUUGACCAGCGCCGACUCCAUCAAAACCUGAGAACUUCCACUACGACGACCCAACUUCUGAAGAGAGAAGGGCAACGGCUUCGCCUUCCAUAGCUCCAAGCCGGUACGAAAGGCUUUCCGCCGCACCCGCCACUAUGGCGAAUCACCGCCCCUACUGCCACAAUAUUUGAAUCCGUCCGGCACUGGGCAUUUGUAGGUUUUCUUAUCUUUCAACCGUAAUUUGUUUCCUAUAGUGAAAUUAGGAAAUCAGGGUCUUUUUUCUUCCCAAUUCCUUUUUGUUCCUUAAGUUAGCGUUUAAUUUUUGUGUAUUUGAGAAGGAGGAAGAGAGCGAGAGAUGGAUGAUUAUCAGGAAAUGGAGAGGUUUGGUAUGGAGAAUGAUUACGAUGAUGGCCAAUGGAUUGGCGGUGAGUUUUAUUACCGUAAGCGCAAAGAGAAGAGGUCUCAAACAAAAGAAGAUGUUGUUUAUGGUGUCUUCGCAACUGGGUCGGAUUCGGACUCUGAUGGUGAUGGAUUUUCGUCUAGGAAGCGCCGCAAGGACCGGGACUUGUCUAGGAAACCUGACCUCACCAAGCCUGUCAAUUUUGUAUCCACCGGCACCGUCAUGCCCAACCAGGAGAUUGAUAGGAUUUCUAAGGAUGGAGAUACUGACAAUGUGGACGAUGACCAUCCUGGCCUUGGCUUGGGUUCUAGCACGUCUGGUUCUGGCCUGGGAUUUAAUUCGUCAACCUCUGACAGAAAUCCCAAUGGGUUUAAGGAAAAUGGUUCUAAUGUUGAUGGAGAUGAAGAUGGUGAUGAUUUAUUUUUGCCCACUGCGUUUGGGAAAAGGAUUAAGGAGGGAGCUGAAAGGAGGGAGAGGGAAAGAGUGAAAUCACAGAUAGAGAAGAAAAGUCGAAUUGUAUCCGGUAGCAGAAAAGAUUCUGACCCUGGGAAUGUUGGAGCGUUUGAGAAGCAUACUAAGGGCAUUGGUCUGAAGCUACUUGAAAAAAUGGGAUACAAAGGUGGUGGGCUUGGAAAAAACGAACAGGGGAUUGUAGCUCCCAUCGAAGCUAAAAUGAGGCCUAAGAAUAUGGGUAUGGGUUUUAAUGACUUCAAAGAGGCACCUAAGAUACCUGCUUUGCAGGAAGUUGAGGAGAAAUCAUUGCCCCAACCAACAACUAAGGCAAAGGAGAGGCUAUGGUCGAAGCAAGUUAGGUCUAAAAAGAAGAAAGAAGCAUAUUUAACAGCUGAGGAAUUACUGGCUCGCAAGCAGGACCAGGCAUUGGAGGUUGUUCAGAAGGUGUUUGAUAUGCGUGGACCUCAGGUACGGGUGUUGACUAAUUUAGAGAAUCUGAAUGCUGAAGAGAAAGCCAGAGAAAAUGACAUUCCUAUGCCAGAGCUUCAGCAUAAUGUGAGGUUGAUUGUAGACUUGGCUGAGCUGGAUAUUCAAAAAAUUGAUAGAGACUUGAGAAAUGAGAAGGAAACUGCACUGAGCUUACAGGAAGAGAAGCAAAAGUUCGAGAUUGAGCUGGCUCGUCAGAAGAAGCAGUUGAAUAGUAUGGAAGAAAUUAUGAGCAUGAUUGAGAGAAUAGGAGAAGAUAAUUCUGCUGGAACAUUGACAUUAGAUGGACUUGCCAAGUGCUUCAGUGGGUUGCGGAGAAGAUUUGGUGAAGACUACAAGCUAUGUAACUUGUCUUGCAUUGCAUGUUCAUUUGCACUACCUUUGUUUAUUAGAGUAUUUCAGGGCUGGGAUCCCCUUCAAAAUCCUUCUCAUGGGUUAGAAGUGAUAUCGUUGUGGAAGACGCUGCUUCAAGAUGAAGACUGUGUUGACAUCUGGGACAUGACAUCGCCCUAUACUCUCCUGGUUUCAGAAGUUGUACUACCCGCCGUAAGAAUUUCUGGCAUAAAUACGUGGCAGGCUAGGGACCCUGAACCAAUGCUUCGGUUCUUAGAGUCUUGGGAAAAAUUGCUGCCUCCUUCGGUGCUUCAUACCGUAUUGGACAAUGUUGUCAUGCCUAAACUGGCAAGUGCAGUAGAUUUGUGGGAACCUCAGCGAGAUCCUGUUCCUAUCCAUAUGUGGGUACAUCCAUGGCUGCCAUUGUUAGGGCAUAAGCUGGAGGGUAUGUAUCAGGUCAUACGUACGAAGUUGAGUUUUGUUCUUGGUGCUUGGCACCCAAGUGAUGCUUCUGCCUAUACUAUAUUGUCACCUUGGAAAGCUGUAUUUGAUUCUGCUAGUUGGGAGCAGCUUAUGCGUCGCUUUAUAGUGCCUAAACUGCAGCUUGUCUUGCAAGAAUUCCAAGUAAAUCCAGGAAAUCAAAAACUUGAUCAGUUUUACUGGGUUACUAGUUGGGCUUCUGCGCUACCGAUCCACCUCAUGGUUGAUAUGAUGGAGAAAUUCUUCUUCUCCAAGUGGCUGCAGGUAUUAUAUCACUGGUUAUGUUCGAAUCCAAAUUUCGAGGAGGUUACAAAGUGGUAUAUGGGCUGGAAAGAACUUUUUCCAAAGGAGCUUCUGGCUAAUGAAAGCAUCCGGUACCAGCUUAGUUGUGGACUGGAUAUGAUGAAUCAAGCCGUUGAAGGGAUGGAGGUGGUUCAGCCAGGUUUGAAAGAAAAUAUUUCUUACCUUCGGGUUCUUGAGCAACGGCAAUUUGAAGCUCAGCAGAAGGCUGCUGCGCAAGCUAAACAGCAAGGAUCGGCUGGAUUGGGUAAUGCCUCUAAUUUGGAUGGUAUGGGUGGUACACUUGAGAUGACUCUGAAAGAAGUACUUGAGGCCCAUGCCCAACAGCAUGGUUUACUCUUUAAGCCUAAACCUGGAAGGAUGCACAAUGGGCACCAGAUAUAUGGCUUUGGAAAUAUAAGCAUAAUAGUGGACGCUCUAAAUCAAAAGGUGUAUGCCCAAACUGAGGAAUCGUGGUCCCUAGUAUCACUUGAACGAUUGCUGGACAUGCACGGUAGUUCUACAACUAAGAGACGGUAGAUGUAAGCUUGACAUAACUUUCUGUAGAAGUUUCCAUGUUUUGAAGCAACUUUAAGCAGUGUUUAGAUUAUGUAGACUGCUUGUACCAUAGGAGAAACUAUAAGGGAGGCAAAGGCCAGCUAUAAACAGGGCCUUGCAGUUAAGUAACAAAAACCAUUAAAUGAUAAUUAGAAAAAGGCUCUGCCAUCUAAAAAAUGCCUUUUUCUACACUAUUCUUCAAAGAUCUACAUGCACCACACUUUCAAGAAUCGGAACAGCAAGGCAUUUGAGGAGCUGGACUUCAAAGAGUGGGGCGAAAUCCUCAAGAAAAAAGGUUUGAAGUGCAAGAAAGAAGAAAACUGGUUCAAGAUUAUCAAGAACUCCCUCCAAAAAUCCAAGAUUACUAUCAAGAACGAAGAACCUCAAGAACGGAGCUCUACUGAUGAUGAACCUCAAGAAAGGUUAGUAAAUUAUCUAGAUAGAAGGUUCUGGCCACGUUUUGAUGAUAGAAGAAGGGAGCCGACCGAAUAUAGAAUGAAAAUAGACUUGCCUAUCUAUGAUGGUAAGAGAAAUAUAGAGAUUUUUAGAUUGGCUCAAGAAUACUGAAUUUUUUUAAUUACACGAACACACCUAAGGGAAAGAAGGUGCAUUUAGUUUCUUUGAAGUUGAAAGAUGGAGCUUCAACUUGGUGGGAGCAAAUUGAAGUCAAUAGGAGGAGAAAUAGUGAAAGAUGUAUUGCUUCUUGGGAGAAAAUGAUGAAGAUGAAAGCUCGAUUUCUUCCACCCAACUGUGAACAAACUCUCUACAAUCGAUAUCAAAACUGCCGACAAGGAACUUGAACUAUAGCUGAUUACAUUGAAGAAUUUUAUCGAUUAGGGGCUAGAAUGAAUCUGAUGGAGAAUGAACAACACCUCAUUGCUUGGUUUGUUGGAGGAUUGAGAUUUGAUAUAAAAGAAAAAGUUAAACUUCAACCUUUUCUAACCCUUUCUGAUGCCAUCACUUAGCCAGAAUUUAUUGAACUAAGUUCAAGAAAGAAUACCAGAUGAAGCCCAUAGAAUACCAAUACUAGCAACAAGUCUAUGGCUGCAAACUCUUCCCUUACUAAAGAGGAGGAGAAAGACAAGACAAGUGCUCCAAAUGGGAAGAAGACUGAAGCAAUUCCCAAGAAACAAACAGAGAAUGUGUAUCAAAGGCCUAAUCUGAGUAAAUGCUUCCAUUUUGGACAAGCUGACCACUUUUCCAACUUUUUCCCUAAAAGAAAGACCAUAGCCAUUCUAGAGGAAGAUGAAGACGUCGCUGAGGAGCAAGAAGGAAAUUUUGAUCAAGAUGAAGAGAUCCUUGAGCCUGAUGAAGGGGAAACACUCUCUUGUGUACUUCAAAGAGUACUAAUUGCACCUAAAAAUAAGAACUCCCACCAGCAUAGGCAUAGUCUUUCCAUGACUCGUUGCACUAUUCAAAGUAAGGUAUGCAACAUGAUUAUUGAUAGUGGCAGCAGUGAGAAUUUCGUUUCUAAGAAGCUAGUUACUGCCCUUAAACUGAAGACAGAACCUCAUUCCAAUCCUUACGAAAUAGAAUGGAUCAAGAAAGGUGGAGAUAUACAGAUAAAAGAGAUUUGCUCGGUUCCUUUGUUAAUUGGAGGAAGUUAUAAAGACCAAAUCGUCUGUGAUGUAUUAGAUAUGUGGAUGUUUGCCAUAUCUUGCUUGGGACGCCGUGGCAGUAUGAUGUUCAAGUAGUCCCUAGAGGAAGGGAGAAUACCUAUGAAUUCUAAUGGAUGAAUAAGCAGAUUGUCCUAAUGCCUCUUAGCAAGAAAAUGAAGGAGUUAAUUCGAUGAAGUCCAUUUUCAAAUUGGAGGCCUAGUAAUGACCCAUUUGAAGAAGAGGAGUUUCCCAGCUGGAAUCUAUGGAAAGUUAAGAGACAGACAGAUUGGCCCAUUUAGAAUAACAGCUAAAUAUGAGCCAAAACGCCUACAAGCUUGAGCUGCCUGAAGGGAUCAACAUCUACCCAAUUCUCAACAUUAUAGACCUCAAAAGGUACAAUGCGCCUAAUGGAUUCCAACUUACCUAGCAAACCCAACUUGAGGACGAGUUUGAUGCUUAGGGGUGGAAUGAUGUAAAUCAACUACUGGCCUAACUUGUUUACUGUUUUACUUAUUGUUAUAAUUGUUACAACUAAGUAGUUACUAAAUAACUAACUUGUAUUACAAUUUUUUCAAUAAGUAAACAUUUCCUCUCACAUUGAGAGAUAAGAUUUCAUUCAAACAAAAUAUUAGACUUUGGUUUUACACCAUUUUAUCUCAAAUUUGAACGAUGGGACAAGCUGAAGCACAACAGGCCAAUAGUCACGAAAGGAUUUGGAGGAUGGUUGAAAAUAAAAAAUCUCCCUUUGGAUUAUAGGUGCAGGAGAACUUUCGAGAUUAUUUGAGACCAUUUUGGGGGACUUGAGCACAUAGCCUUAAAAACACUCAAUCUUACAAAUUGUACUGAAGGAAGAAUUAAAGUCAAGAAGAAACUAUGUGGUUUCAUGCCCUAACGAUAGAAUCAAAGACUUUAAGAGAGGAAACAUUUUCUUAAAUUUUGGUGAUAUUGAACUGUUGAAUCCGUCAAGUAAAAUUAGAAAGGCACUUGUGGUUGAAGACUUUGAAAACUCCAUUGAUCUCUCGAGAUUCAGGACUGUUUUAGACGAUGAAGAGGUAUAUCUUUCCUGUUUUCCCCCGGUGCUGAAUUUCCCAAAAUCCACCUUGGCAAGAAAUCCUUUGAAGCUCUGCAAAAAAAUCACAUUAUACAUCACAAUCGAAAAUAAAACCAUUUGAACAAAAGAACCCAAACAACCAAAGCUAACCCAACCUUCCCAACUUUCCCAUCAUCUCCGAUCCCACCCUUCCUAACUUACUAUGUAAUUAUAGAUUUCCCAAGUUAGGAUUUUAGGGGAAUGCAUUCCCAACUUUCCCAUCCCAAUCCAACCCAACCUUCCCAACUUUCCCAUCAUCUUCGAUCCCACCCUUCCUAACUUACUGAUUCUAUGCUCAAUAAACUUGUAUAUUAUGUAAUUAUAGAUUUCCCAAGUUAGGAUUUUAGAGGAAUGCAUUCCAAACCUUCCCAACCCAAUCCAACCCAACCACCUAUUAUCUGACCAAACCUAACCCAACCUUCCCAACUUUUCUGUCAUUUCCGAACCCACCCUUCCUAACUUACUGAUUCUAUGCUCAAUAAACUUAUGAUUCAUUUGUUUCAUGAACACUCAUCGGCGCCAGAGAAGAGGGAAGAGACGUUCAGGCAGGCCAAUUAAUGGGCUUUGUUAAACCCGCUAAAGACAUUUGUUCGAAUAAGUCUGUGGGCCCCACAAAUUUUGAUUCCUUUUUUAAAAAUCAGGUACCCAAAGGGUCGGAGAGGGAAAAAGAAAACAGAAUGGCGCCUUCAAUUACUGUGGUUCUGAAAAUGCUGCCACCAACCCACCCUAUUCAGAUUUUAAACAGCCUCUCUAUCAAAAAGUUUCAGUUAGCCGGUGCCGCUCAGUCCUCAACAAAGGUUGUUACCUCAUUCAAGCUUAGACUAAGUAAAGGAAAGAAAAAAGGCAGUUCUCCGAAAAUUCCCCUAAAGCAUUUCAUCAGAAAACAAAAAUCUUUUGAUAAUGUCUGGACUGCACUGCUAAAGUCUAAAUCACUUGUUGCUUGCUCUUUCAAAGCUACAAAAGAGGCUCCACAGCAGAACUUAAUUAUCAAGCCCUCUCUAUCUGAGAAUAACCCAAAUCUCCUGGAGGCCUGCAGCUCCAAAGUUCGAAUUGAUACGCUUCAAAACAGGUCAGUUACAGCUCCCCCAGCUCCUAAACUCUUCAGUUACUCGAGUUUCACAGAUCCUAACACUAAAAUUAUCUUAUUACGAGGUUCUCCAUGCCACUCAGUUGAUUCUGUUAUGAAAAAGUCAAAUACUGAAUUGGUCUCUCCCUAUAGUGGUAGCAGUGAAGAAUCAGCGGGCUUGAAAUACACUUAGGAGGGUAAAACAAAUGCUGAAGUAGAAGGAGUGGAUUUGAAUACCCUAUUCGAAGUUGAUGAUCGAUGCUGAUAUUGGUGAAGUUCCUUGGUCCUUCCCUAUUAAAUUAUCCGAAGUUACAAAGGAGUUGGUGCCCAUUAUAAAUGAUUGCUGUAUUGUGUUGGUUUGAGUAAGCUGUUGUGUUGAUGUUUUUAAAGAUACCUAACCAAUUCCAUGGAAUACAAGGGGCUGAAAGAUCCUACCAAGCGCAUAGCACUUAAGAAAUCCAUCAAGAACCAUCAUCCGGAUGUGGUUAUAAUUCAAGAAUCAAAAAUGGAAAACUUUGAUGCAUUAUUUACUAAAUCAAUAUGGAGUUCCAAAGAAAUCGGAUGGGAGUUUGUGGAAUCAAUUAGUGCAUCGGGGGCAUUCUCAAAAUGUGGGAUGAGCAAAAUUACUGUGGUUGAGAUUACCAAAGGGAGGUUUUCUGCCCAAUUAACGGUGAUACGGUAUGCAAAAGACGCUGGUGGAUUCGCAAUGUAUACGGCCCAUGUGGUUACUUGUUUGGUCAGAGCUCUUAUCCAUUUUAGAUGCGGUAUUGCGGAGAUUUCAACGUUACUCACUGGGCUCAUUGGCAGAAACACAAGAGGAAUGAGGCUAUUUAAUAACUUCAUUGAUUCAGCUAAUAUCAUGGAACUUCCUCUUCAAAAUGGCAGAUACACAUGGUCAAGACCUUGAGGGUCAGCCUCAAGGUCCUUGCUGGAUAGUGUUAUUUAUUAAUAGAUAAUGGGAAGAAGCGUUUGAGAACUCCAGAGUGUCUGCUGCACAAAGCUAUUUAUAAAGCUCUUUGGAAGACCAGCAGCCCAAGGAGAGUCAACAUAUUAAUUUGGAUUAUGGCCUUUGGCCUCCUAAACUGCUCCUUGAUCAUGCAAAGGAAAAUCCCCGAUCAGUGCUUGUUGCCUUCGAUGUGCCCUCUUUGCUUAACGGACAGUGAGGACUUGUUGUUGUGGGAUGCUUUGGUGCCAAAGAAACCGAGUCUAAUUUGGGCAAACAUGUCAAAAGCUCUUCUUCCAGAAAUCUGGUUUGAAUGCAAUCAGCGCAUUUUUCUCGACAAGGAAAGGGGCUGGUUUGACACUUUGGACACGGCAAAGAGGAAUGCUGCAGCCUGAUGUUCUUUAAAUGUGGAAUUAAAGGAUUAUUCAAUUCAGGAUAUAUGUUUAAACUGGGCGACUUUCAUCCAUCAGCCACUUUAAUGGGGGUGGGGGGUGAUUUUAUGCACUCCUCAGAAGCUUACUUUGCAUCUUUCGGCUUUUGCUUUUAUUAGAGGAAAUACUUCUCAGUUUUGUUAGCUAUAUAGGAGAUUAUAUGUUUUAGGGGCCUUGGGGGUUUUAUCUCUCCUGUGUUCUUUUUCUUUUCCUAUUGGUUUCUGCUUUUGUUUGUUCCCAGAGUAGCUAGCUUGUUUUUAGUUGUUCUAUUGAAUUUUUUAUUUUAGGGGUAUGAUGAUGGUGCUAAGGAGGUGUCAAACCUAGUUGAGAUGUUCAGGUGCGCCUCUUGGUCCUCUCCCUCUCCUUUCAUUUUAGGCUUCUCUAUUAUUCUCAUUGUAUAAUUCUCUUGUACCUUGAGUUUUUAUAUUUAUAAAGAAGCUUGUCUCAUUUUCAAGAAAAACCAACAAUUAGAAGGUGAAUAUGAUUCGUCAACUGGGGCAGUUGCCGAUGGCUAGAGAAUUUAUAGGGAUGAUGGAGCAUUUUUCUGGGUGGGGAAAAAUAGCGUUAAGCUGAGUACUGUUGAAGUAGAGAAACAAAACACUCAAAUGUCGAUGGUCGCAAGGAGGUGCAAGGUCUGGUUCAUCAAGGAUGAGAGACUGAUGAAAUAUAGUUUUGACUUGUGUUAAUGAUGGGUCUUGUCCCUUGUAUGGUGUUACGAUGCAGGAGAAAAAACAUUUGAAAAGUAGAGAGAAAAACAGGGAGUGUUUAAAAUUCCUAGCGCAGUUGUCAAUAUGCUGGUAGAUCCGUGAGAAAUAUUAUCUGGGAACUUGCAGAGGAAAAUAAGAAAGGAGAAGAGAAGAAAAAUUAAAUAAAUGCACUUGUUCAAAUUUAUUAUUGAUUGGUGAGGGAAGAUGUUGAAUUUGCUUCUUUUUUUUUUCUUUUUCCUUUUCAUUUUUCUCAAAUGUAAAAUUUAAGCUUUUAUUAAGGUGAAUGAGAAUAUAAGAGUUCCUAUUGUUUGUUACUAAAAAGGUAGGUUAUUGUGAUUGAUGUUUGA
RNA transcript from Cucumis melo (muskmelon), 9233 nucleotides. It is a transcript of the gene named septin and tuftelin-interacting protein 1 homolog 1, with no coding region annotated. The transcript is spliced from 3 exons. NCBI's taxonomy places the organism in Eukaryota, Viridiplantae, Streptophyta, Magnoliopsida, Cucurbitales, Cucurbitaceae. The record is from RefSeq and is a predicted model, not a curated record.